GGGCGAUUAACUCAGCUGGUCAGAGUGUCUGCUUUACACGCAGAAGGUCGGGAGUUCGAAUCUCUCAUCGCCCAC
This 75-nucleotide transfer RNA is filed under the name Fidelibacterota bacterium. RNAcentral's name for it is "Candidatus Marinimicrobia bacterium tRNA-Val". It matches the Rfam family "tRNA". From Rfam's summary of the family: Transfer RNA (tRNA) molecules are approximately 80 nucleotides in length. Their secondary structure includes four short double-helical elements and three loops (D, anti-codon, and T loops). The record is from RNAcentral. Lineage: Bacteria; Pseudomonadati; Fidelibacterota.